RNAcentral lists this ribosomal RNA (465 nucleotides) under uncultured bacterium. RNAcentral describes it as "partial 16S ribosomal RNA". It matches the Rfam family "Bacterial small subunit ribosomal RNA", at positions 28 to 507 of the family's 1533-position model. The record is from RNAcentral.
GAUGAACGCUGGCGGCGUGCUUAACACAUGCAAGUCGAACGGAAAGGCUCCUGCUUGCAGGGGUACUCGAGUGGCGAACGGGUGAGUAACACGUGGGUGAUCUGCCCUGCACUUCGGGACAAGCCUGGGAGACUGGGUCUAAUACCGGAUAGGACCACAUUUUGGAUGGUGUGGUGGAAAGUUUUUCGGUGUGGGAUGAGCUCGCGGCCUAUCAGCUUGUUGGUGGGGUAAUGGCCUACCAAGGCGUCGACGGGUAGCCGGCCUGAGAGGGUGUACGGCCACAUUGGGACUGAGAUACGGCCCAGACUCCUACGGGAGGCAGCAGUGGGGAAUAUUGCACAAUGGGCGCAAGCCUGAUGCAGCGACGCCGCGUGGGGGAUGACGGCCUUCGGGUUGUAAACUCCUUUCGCUAGGGACGAAGCGCAAGUGACGGUACCUGGAGAAGAAGCACCGGCUAACUACGUG